Molecule: long non-coding RNA, 1027 nt
Organism: Gossypium raimondii (Peruvian cotton)
Lineage: Eukaryota; Viridiplantae; Streptophyta; Magnoliopsida; Malvales; Malvaceae
Exons: 2
Source: RefSeq, a predicted model, not a curated record
CCCUUUUUUAUUUUCACCAAUAUUUUUACGGUGAACUUUUUUAUUCCUCUUUGUCCUACGUUCAGCACUUUCACUAAAUAUCGCCGUCGUUGGAGCACAUCGACUGUCGUUGCCACCCCUUUCCUCUUCCGAUUUCAUUGUCGUCGUUGUCGCCUCAUUUAGAGAAGGUAAGUUUUACUUAUUUUGUUUUUGUCUCUUCCAAUAUAUUUGAUUAUCUCCAAAACCUCAAAUCCCUUUAUCUGCUUUUGCCCCCAAAUCUCUACAUCAACUUUUGAAAAAAAAAAACUCAUCUCUCUUUCUCUUCGAGCUAAUGAGAUGUAAAUAAUCUUCUUAUGUUCUUGUGAUGUUAGAUUGUUCAAUAGGACUGUAUAUUUCUUAUUUUGAAAUGAGCUUGAUGUUGCUCUAAUUCAAGAUGCUCAGGAUGAAAAGCUUUGGUUUGCUUAUUUGAUUUAUUGGAUUCAAUUGUCGUUUUAUCCACUCUAUGUAAUUAUAUUUAUAUUUUGAAAAUGAUCAACAAUCAUGGAAUGAUGAUGUGUAUGCGCAAGUUAAAAAGUCGAAAAAAGGGGUCUGUUGGUUGUAUGGGAACAAUAUCCACUUCAUCUCUUAAGUUCGCUCCUUCAUCAUCUAAAUCCCAACAAAAUGAAAAGAUAGAACGGUUAAAAACAGAGGUUCAAGAUUUGAAGGAAGUUUUAGGUAAUGUUUUAACAUUACUUCAAACAAAGUUUCCAGACGACAAUGUGAAUGUUGUAACUGUUAUGCGGGCGUUCAAUAGAGAGGUAUUUGAUGCUAGUAGUGGUCUAAAUUUAUCACAACGUCCGAGAAAUUGAUCUUCAAGUUGCAGUCAUCAACUUGAUGAAGAUGAAGAUGGUAAAUUAUGUCCAAGCUUCAUUAUUUUAUAUAAUUUCACUAUUUGAUUUCUUUAAAUACAUAUACAUUUUCAAUUUUAUACAAGUGAUACUCCAAAGGAAUAUGUGAAGGGCUAUGUUUAGACUUUGUUUGGACUAUAUAUUUGGUUUGGUUGAUGACU